AAGACCUUGCGCUUUUGGAGCGGCCGAUGCCUGAUUAGCUAGUUGGUGGGGUAAUGGCCUACCAAAGCUUCGAUCAGUAGCUGGUCUGAGAGGACGGCCAGCCACACUGGGACUGAGACACGGCCCAGACUCCUACGGGAGGCAGCAGUGGGGAAUUUUGGACAAUGGGCGCAAGCCUGAUCCAGCCAUGCCGCGUGAGUGAAGAAGGCCUUCGGGUUGUAAAGCUCUUUCAGCCGGGAAGAAAAGGUUGCGAUUAAUAAUCGCAAUUUACGACGGUACCGGAAGAAGAAGCACCGGCUAACUACGUGCCAGCAGCCGCGGUAAUACGUAGGGUGCGAGCGUUAAUCGGAAUUACUGGGCGUAAAGGGUGCGCAGGCGGUUUUGUAAGUCAGAUGUGAAAUCCCCGGGCUUAACCUGGGAACU
Molecule: ribosomal RNA, 423 nt
Filed under: uncultured bacterium
Lineage: Bacteria
Description: bacterial SSU rRNA
Rfam family: Bacterial small subunit ribosomal RNA
Source: RNAcentral